Molecule: ribosomal RNA, 464 nt
Filed under: uncultured bacterium
Lineage: Bacteria
Description: partial 16S ribosomal RNA
Rfam family: Bacterial small subunit ribosomal RNA
Source: RNAcentral
CCUACGGGUGACAGCAGUAGGGAAUUUUCGUCAAUGGGCGCAAGCCUGAACGAGCAAUGCCGCGUGACCGAGGUAGGUCUUCGGAUCGUAAAGUUCUGUUGAAGGGGAAAAAGAGCGGAGAGAGGAAAUGGUCUCCGAUUGAUAUUACCCUUCGAGGAAGUCACGGCUAACUACGUGCCAGCAGCCGCGGUAAUACGUAGGUGGCGAGCGUUAUCCGGAAUGAUUGGGCGUAAAGGGUGCGUAGGCGGCCUGCUAAGUCUGGAGUGAAAGGUACCGGCUCAACCGGUACAGGCUCUGGAAACUGGCGGGCUAGAGAGCAGGAGAGGGCGGUGGAACUCCAUGUGUAGCGGUAAAAUGCGUAGAUAUAUGGAAGAACACCAGUGGCGAAGGCGGCCGCCUGGCCUGUUACUGACGCUGAGGCACGAAAGCGUGGGGAGCAAAUAGGAUUAGAUACCCGAGUAGUC